Molecule: ribosomal RNA, 235 nt
Filed under: uncultured bacterium
Lineage: Bacteria
Description: partial 16S ribosomal RNA
Rfam family: Bacterial small subunit ribosomal RNA
Source: RNAcentral
CGCACGGGUGCGUAACGCGUAACCAACCUACCCACAUCUGGGGGAUAGCCCGCCGAAAGGCGGAUUAAUACCGCAUAAGCUGCAGGCCCGGCAUCGGGCUUAUAGUAAAGAUUUAUUGGAUGUGGAUGGGGUUGCGUGCCAUUAGCUGGUUGGGGGGGUAACGGCCCACCAAGGCGACGACGGGUAGCUGGUCUGAGAGGAUGGCCAGCCACAUUGGGACUGAGAGACGGCCCAG